UACGUAGGGUGCAAGCGUUGUCCGGAAUUAUUGGGCGUAAAGAGCUCGUAGGCGGUUUGUCGCGUCUGCUGUGAAAACUCGGGGCUUAACCCCGGGCCUGCAGUGGGUACGGGCAGACUAGAGUGCGGUAGGGGAGACUGGAAUUCCUGGUGUAGCGGUGAAAUGCGCAGAUAUCAGGAGGAACACCAAUGGCGAAGGCAGCUCGCUGGGACGGUACUGACGCUGAGGCACGAAAGCCAGGGGAGCGAACGGG
RNAcentral lists this ribosomal RNA (253 nucleotides) under uncultured bacterium. Its description in RNAcentral is "partial 16S ribosomal RNA". It matches the Rfam family "Bacterial small subunit ribosomal RNA", at positions 524 to 776 of the family's 1533-position model. The record is from RNAcentral.